This 395-nucleotide long non-coding RNA is filed under the name Felis catus (domestic cat). Its description in RNAcentral is "lncRNA (ENSFCAG00000046744.2)". The record is from RNAcentral. Lineage: Eukaryota; Metazoa; Chordata; Mammalia; Carnivora; Felidae.
UCCGCCGACCUUGAGCAGCCGCAUCGUUACAUUAUUUACCCACAGGCCAAGUCUGUUCACAGAGUGACUCCAAGGAGCCUUGCCCGUGUUGACACCAGCGUUGGCCGGACCAUCGCAGGUUCCAGCCUCCAGCCAGGGUUACCAGGAGGAUAGGGACUGGUCCGCUUCCUCUCUUGCCCCUGCCUGCUGCUGCUCAUGCCUGAAGCUGAAGGAGAUACACAGAUAUGGAUACAGGACCAGGUCUUGCUAACCUUGGCGUCUCAUCUUUGCCCGUGAUCAUUGUGAAGGACUGAUCAUGAUAUUUGUGUUUCUGGAUCUCACUAUAUCAGAGCUGGACCCCAGGACUUCAUAGUCAAGUAAACCAAUAAAUCCCUUCUUUGCUUAAACUAAUUGAU